UUCAGUUCACGGUCCAGAUGUGGGAGAGAGGAGGGGUGCAGCUCAUCCACGCAGCGGCUAAACGCUUCCUGGUCAGCGGGUUUUGAGCUUGGCACCGCGCUGACUCUGCGGACUUAUCGCCCCCGAACGCGUUUGAGUUUAGCGCCGACGGGAAAGUGUCAAGCAGCAGAAAAAAAACGGGACGAGGAUCAACUCAAAAAAACCCUGAGUCACUCCAGCUUUGACCCUCGUCUUGACUGAUUUACCAAAAAGAUCAAAGAACCCACAGGUAUGAACCGAAUCGCCAGCACGAUGGCGUUGCCUUAAUUGUGUGGAAGAGUCGCUCACCCCGUGAACCACGCCAGAGUUCCCUCUGCUGCCAGCA
Molecule: long non-coding RNA, 364 nt
Filed under: Betta splendens (Siamese fighting fish)
Lineage: Eukaryota; Metazoa; Chordata; Actinopteri; Anabantiformes; Osphronemidae
Description: lncRNA (ENSBSLG00000011577.1)
Source: RNAcentral